UUUAACCUUUCCUCUACCGCCACUCUCUCUAGCGAUCUCUACUUUCCACCCUAACCAUUAGUCGGCUCUCUUGUGCAAUUGAUAGACAGAGAAAGGUCGACGAAAUCAACAAACAGACGAAGAUGAAGUCUCCAUCUGUCUCUGUCUGCCAAUUGAGAGACUAAUCUUUGUCUCUUCGUACCGAGAGAGACUAAUCAUCCUCGUCUCUUCGGUUGGUAUGUUGAAGAGGAAGAAGGAUGCUAUUGUUAAUAUUGGCUCUGGUGCUGCCGUUGUCAUUCCUUCUGAUCUUCUGUAUUCUGUCUACGCCGCCACUAAAGCGGAUAUCGAUUAAUUUUCAAGGUGUUUGUAUGUUGAAUACAAGAAAAGCGGGGUCGAUGUGCAGUGUCAGGUACUUUUGCGAUGUUUCGAUUGAAGUUUUUUGAGGUUGGAAAAAGAAAUACAACAAACGAAAGAAAGAAAGUUCACAUCCAAAUUCGUCGACUUGUAAAAUAUAGUAGUUUGUCGAACAAAUCUCUUUCACAAAGCUCUAUGUUCCAGCCAUUUGCGAUUUUAUAGAAUGUUUAUCUGACAAUAACUAUUGGUUCAUCUUGGUGCAGCGCUAGUGGGACUUUGUAAAAAACUCUUAGAAGCUCAAGCGGAUACAAGGCUGCAAUGCUAAAUAAUGCUUCUCAGUCACAAAUGCUGGACACUGAAAGCCAGCCUCUGGAAUUUUUUCCAGACACCCGGGCAGACCAAUAAUCACCUCCUUCUGCCUUUUUAGUCUAGUAUUUUUUUUUUUUUUCAUUUUUGUCCUAGGAGGGUUUAUGCUCUCUUUUUGGCAUCGCCUGCAGAGAAUGCCAUUAAAUCUGAGCCAUGUUAUUAUAGUUCAUUUUAUUCCAUUGAAUCGUUAAAUUUA
This is a long non-coding RNA of Mangifera indica (mango), 895 nucleotides long. RefSeq lists it as uncharacterized. The transcript has 2 exons. The record is from RefSeq and is a predicted model, not a curated record. NCBI's taxonomy places the organism in Eukaryota, Viridiplantae, Streptophyta, Magnoliopsida, Sapindales, Anacardiaceae.